GUGCCAGCCGCCGCGGUAAUACGUAGGGGGCGAGCGUUGUCCGGAAUCACUGGGCGUAAAGGGCGUGUAGGCGGUUGCUCGUGUUGGGUGUGAAAGGCCACGGCUCAACUGUGGCAUGGCACUCGAAACUGGGCGACUUGAGGGUAGUAGAGGAGAGCGGAAUUCCCGGUGUAGCGGUAAAAUGCGUAGAUAUCGGGAGGAACACCAGUGGCGAAGGCGGCUCUCUGGGCUAUCCCUGACGCUGAGGCGCGAAAGCUAGGGGAGCGAACGGGAUUAGAUACCCCGGUAGUCCUAGCUGUAAACGAUGGGUACUAGGUGUAGGGGGUAUCGACCCCUUCUGUGCCGGAGUUAACGCAAUAAGUACCCCGCCUGGGGAGUACGGCCGCAAGGUUGAAACUCAAAGGAAUUGACGGGGGCCCGCACAAGCAGUGGAGCAUGUGGUUUAAUUCGAAGCAACGCGUAGAACCUUACCAGGGCUUGACAUCCUCUGGAGGCACGGGAAACCGUGCUGGCCUACCGAUGAGGUAGGACAGGGAGACAGGUGGUGCAUGGUUGUCGCCAGCUCGUGUCGUGAGAUGUUGGGUUAAGUCCCGCAACGAGCGCAACCCCCGUCCUCUGUUGCCAGCGCGUGGUGGCGGGCACUCAGAGGAGACUGCCGGAGACGAUUCGGAGGAAGGUGGGGAUGACGUCAAAUCAUCAUGCCCCUGAUGCCCUGGGCGACACACGUGCUACAAUGGCCGGUACAACGGGCUGCGAAGCCGCGAGGCGGAGCCAAUCCCUGAAAGCCGGUCUCAGUUCGGAUCGCAGGCUGCAACUCGCCUGCGUGAAGGCGGAAUUGCUAGUAAUCGCGGAUCAGAACGCCGCGGUGAAUACGUUCUCGGGCCUUGUACACACCGCCCGUCACACCACGAAAGUCGGCAACACCCGAAGUCGGUGAGCCA
Molecule: ribosomal RNA, 941 nt
Filed under: uncultured prokaryote
Description: bacterial SSU rRNA
Rfam family: Bacterial small subunit ribosomal RNA
Source: RNAcentral